GAUUGAAUUUUCAUGUAUGGUUGAGUUGUUGUUCUUUUUAAAUAAAGGACAGAGAAAAGUGCGACAAGCAGUGUCCAUAUAAUUCUACAUCGCUGCUGCUAACAUGUGACUUCACUUCAGAAACUCCAGAAAAGUGCCGUACAGAUGUGUGUCCACCAUUCGAUAAGGCGGCAAAGAGCAACGGAGUGAUCCUCGGAAACAUGCACAUGGAAGGUGAUAGACGCAGGCUGGAAUGUAACCAGGGCUACCUACCGCUCGAUCUAAACAAUGUGACCAGUCAAUGUCAGAACGGGCGCUGGACGAACGUGACCACUUGUGUUCAAGUAUGCCCUCAGUUUGAGAACAAAAACCAUGGCACGGUGGUCGGAGACUCUAUUUAUGAAAAUGCCACUAGAAAUUUGACUUGCAACGAAGGCUACAGUCCCCUUGACCCAGCAAAAACAGUCAGCAAAUGUACAAAGGGAAACUGGACGGAAAUAACGAAGUGU
Long non-coding RNA from Dreissena polymorpha, 488 nucleotides. RefSeq lists it as uncharacterized. NCBI's taxonomy places the organism in Eukaryota, Metazoa, Mollusca, Bivalvia, Myida, Dreissenidae. The transcript has 3 exons. The record is from RefSeq and is a predicted model, not a curated record.